ACAACGAUUAUGCCAUUGAUGUCAUAAAUUGAAGGAACUCAAAGAUUAAGGAACGAUUUUUCAUCUCAAAAGAUUCGAUUGAAGGUACGAUUAUUAUUUUUCAUCUGUUUUCAACUAUGCAUUGUUCUUCCUACUUCUGUUAUUAGGUUUUGUUUUGAAUUAUCAAGGUUCAAUAUCAUUGAGUUUAUAAUUUUUUUUUGGCUUUUUCGUGAUUAAAUUUGUGAAUUUGAUGUUUUUUUUGGCUGUGAUUGUUAUGGAUUUUGCGGAAUGAGGGUUGUUGCCCGUGUCUCUAUCUUAUCUGUUGUUGUUGCUUUGCGCGUUUUGCUGGUGUUGUCCGUCUGCUGCUGGUGGUUGUUGGUGGUGUUGCUGCCUCCUUAUUCGAGCUGCUACUAUUCUUCUUCUUCAAUCCUUAUUGUAUCCCUUAUUUCUGAGGUUUGAGCUGUUUAUUUCGGGUGCUAAUGUGAAUGCCUUCUUCUCAGUAAAGAUUUUCCUGAAGAUUAUAAUUCUGAGUAGUUGGUCUUCUGAAUUUUGUGGCUGUGUCAACUCAGUCUUAGCUGCAAGUUUGUAAUGGAAGUGUCGUAGGCAUCAUUUUUUUACAAUGCUUGAUAUUAAUGAAAUUUAUGUGGCACAACCUACUCUAUUUUGUAUGAUAUGAUGGGUAGGAGUUUAUUCUGUGUCUUCUUCUUAUAGAUUGAUUUAUCUUUAUGAACUUCACUUUUAUUUUCUUCCUCACGAUCCCCAAACUGAAACAAGCGAAUAAUAUGGCACAUGAAAAUGAAAGAAAGAUCUCACCUGCAUUGAUAUGAAUAUAUAGAAUAACAUUCUCAUGCUGUUUGACUGGUUGUAGAAGCUAAGUUGUAGUUCCCACGAAGUUGUUGAAAACUAUUUUGUUGAAUGUAAAAUGUACAGGAAGUUCAAGUAGUAAACAACCUACAACAUUUAAUCUUUGCAUGAAGCGAAAACAACCUACAACUCCCAAAAUAGACUCAAAAUGCAUUAAGCUAGUAAAAUUAAUAACAUUGAACAAAGCUAAGCUAAAUAAGCAUAAAACUGGACUAACAAGGGAUUAAUGAGGGUGGAAAGAGGUCACGAAAGCGACCUUAAAAGCCACUUAUCAAUAGCAGCUCUUAACAAUUUUGAAGGUGUGAUUAUUAACCGCAACUCUUAAAAAAUUAAGGGCUGCGAUUUUUAUCAAACAUCUAUAUCCACUAAGGACAUCGAUUUUUAGCAAAAACGCAGCCCGUGUGACCCUUAAUUUUUUUUUCCUUUUUAUGCCAAAUUGACACACAAACAUCUAUUAUUGAUAGAUUGUAAAGCUCUUAUACAGAGUGUGCUCAUAAUACAAAUAUUGGUAAACUUAAAUGCUAAGAGAACUUCAUUAUACACUUUGGUCAUUGUGAGAGAUGUUUUUCUGCCAAAUUUUGGCCAAAAGUCACUUAAUCACCACUGUUAGUUUAGUAAGUGAUUCUGAAGCUGGAAAAUCCAAAUGUGUAGGCACUUAGUGAUCGACCUGUACUUACAGGAGCAACAAAUAUUUUUCAAAUUACUAUGUUGGUGUAAAAAAAACCAGAAGUUCAUAAGUUCACAUAAGUUCCAGAGCUACCCAUAUUCAAUUCACAACUCUUUAACAUAUUCAGUAUUAUUAUCAACAUGUACCAAUAAUUGCUUUGGUUUGUGUAGCAACAUCCAUAGUCGUGCCAUCUUUCCGUUGUUGAAGAGUCUCUCCAACACAAACUAUGACCUUCAAACUCUGUGAGCAACUCUUAAUAGCCUACAGAACAGGUAAAAACACAGAAGUGGGAAGGGGAAUAAACCAACAAAAUAGAACUAAAAUUCAUAUUCUGCAUUGCAGAUGAAAGCUCGAAUGAACAACAAUUGAUGAAACCUGGAGGAAGA
RNA transcript from Beta vulgaris subsp. vulgaris (sugar beet), 1896 nucleotides. RefSeq lists it as uncharacterized. The transcript has 3 exons. The record is from RefSeq and is a predicted model, not a curated record. NCBI's taxonomy places the organism in Eukaryota, Viridiplantae, Streptophyta, Magnoliopsida, Caryophyllales, Amaranthaceae.